UCAUGUAAUAGCUGCUUGUUCUGCUUAAAUUGGUUAUGGUUUUCAUAAAAUGUUGCGUGAAUGUAGAUCUGUGUUCUGGAGAAGCUUGCUUGUUACACUGUCGCAGAAUUCCUUAAUAGAUUUAGGAGCUCGUGUAAACAACUGCAUGUUUGUGCCUUGUUAUAAAAUUGAAAAGGUUAGAUUAGGGUCUUAUAAGAAAAUGUCAAUGUCGUAGAACUGAUAGUGAACUACCUUCCACAUUUGAAUAGAUAAAAAUACUUUGAGGAGAUCUAAUUGUUCAUGAUC
Molecule: long non-coding RNA, 285 nt
Filed under: Nicotiana benthamiana
Lineage: Eukaryota; Viridiplantae; Streptophyta; Magnoliopsida; Solanales; Solanaceae
Description: long non-coding RNA (NBEN_LNC001629)
Source: RNAcentral